RNAcentral lists this long non-coding RNA (264 nucleotides) under Homo sapiens (human). Its description in RNAcentral is "HSALNT0043411". The record is from RNAcentral. Lineage: Eukaryota; Metazoa; Chordata; Mammalia; Primates; Hominidae.
AAAAAAAAGAAAUUAUGAAAAACAUCCAAGACAAUUUUGAAGAACAGCAAGGUCAAACCAACUUACCCCACCAUAUAUCCAGAUAGUUAAAGUUAGAGCAUUGGAAGGGCAAACAAAACAGAGAAUAGAGAUCCCAGAAAUAGACACACACACACACGAUAACUGGAUGCUGGAUGUAAGAGAAGACUGGCAUUAAAAAUCACUGAGGAAAAGAUGUAUUAGUGUUCUAUCUGUGUUUAUCAGUUAUCUAUAUAUAUAUUAGUU